Molecule: long non-coding RNA, 289 nt
Filed under: Pan troglodytes (chimpanzee)
Lineage: Eukaryota; Metazoa; Chordata; Mammalia; Primates; Hominidae
Description: long non-coding RNA NONPTRT014000
Source: RNAcentral
GGAAAGUCUGGUGGCUGACAAGUAAACCAACAGUUAUGUUCUUCAGAGAGGAGAUCUCAGAUUCUCUAAGCAAAAGAAACUAAUAGCUGUAUGACAACAGCCAAAGAGUAAAUAUCCUUUCAAGUCCAAUCCUGCCUAAGAUGUCAAAAUCAAGAAUGAAGAGGUUAUGUGCUGAAACAGAAUGACCUUCACGAGAUGCAGCCUCUGGAUCUUGGACUUCCCCAGCCUCCAGAACUGUAAGCCAAAUGAAUCUCUUUGUUUAUAAAUUACCCAGUGUGUGGUAUUCUUA